GUGUUUACUUCGGCAGCACAUAUACUAAAAAAAUUGGAAUGACACAGAGAAGACUAGCAUGGCCCCUGCACAAGGAUGACAUGCAAAUUCAUGAAGUAUUCCAUAUAUUU
This 110-nucleotide small nuclear RNA is filed under the name Sciurus vulgaris (Eurasian red squirrel). Lineage: Eukaryota; Metazoa; Chordata; Mammalia; Rodentia; Sciuridae. The record is from RNAcentral.